RNAcentral lists this ribosomal RNA (478 nucleotides) under uncultured bacterium. Its description in RNAcentral is "partial 16S ribosomal RNA". It matches the Rfam family "Bacterial small subunit ribosomal RNA", at positions 28 to 523 of the family's 1533-position model. The record is from RNAcentral.
GACGGACGCUGGCGGCGUGCUUAACACAUGCAAGUCGAACGGUAAGGCCCUUCGGGGUACACGAGUGGCGAACGGGUGAGUAACACGUGGGUGAUCUGCCCUGCACUUCGGGAUAAGCCUGGGAAACUGGGUCUAAUACCGGAUAGGACCCUGGGAUGCAUGUCCUGGGGUGGAAAGCUUUUGCGGUGUGGGAUGGGCCCGCGGCCUAUCAGCUAGUUGGUGAGGUAACGGCUCACCAAGGCGACGACGGGUAGCCGGCCUGAGAGGGUGACCGGCCACACUGGGACUGAGACACGGCCCAGACUCCUACGGGAGGCAGCAGUGGGGAAUAUUGCACAAUGGGCGCAAGCCUGAUGCAGCAACGCCGCGUGAGGGAUGACGGCCUUCGGGUUGUAAACCUCUUUUAGUAGGGAAGAAGCGAAAGUGACGGUACCUGCAGAAAAAGCACCGGCUAACUACGUGCCAGCCGCCGCGGUAA